Eurytemora carolleeae is the source of this 147-nucleotide long non-coding RNA. RefSeq lists it as uncharacterized. Lineage: Eukaryota; Metazoa; Arthropoda; Copepoda; Calanoida; Temoridae. The transcript has 3 exons. The record is from RefSeq and is a predicted model, not a curated record.
ACAGUUCAGUAAUCCAGAUCAAAUAAAAGAGGAUUUAGCUAAGGCAGAGGAGAAGAGGAGAUGGAGAGAGGAGCAUCCCGAUAGUAGCAGCGAAGAGAGUGAAGAUGAAGCUCCAGCUAGAGGAGCAGCAGGAGGAAAGAAGGAGGU